RNAcentral lists this ribosomal RNA (500 nucleotides) under uncultured Glomeromycotina. Its description in RNAcentral is "partial small subunit ribosomal RNA". It matches the Rfam family "Eukaryotic small subunit ribosomal RNA", at positions 591 to 1092 of the family's 1831-position model. The record is from RNAcentral. Lineage: Eukaryota; Fungi; Glomeromycota.
CCAAUAGCGUAUAUUAAAGUUGUUGCAGUUAAAAAGCUCGUAGUUGAAUUUCGGGGUUAGUAGGUUGGUCAUGCCUCUGGUAUGUACUGGUCUCACUGAUUCCUCCUUCCUGAUGAGCCGUAAUGCCAUUAAUUUGGUGUUGCGGGGAAUUUGGACUGUUACUUUGAAAAAAUUAGAGUGUUUAAAGCAAGCUAACGUUUGAAUACAUUAGCAUGGAAUAAUGAAAUAGGACGUUCGAUCCUAUUUUGUUGGUUUCUAGGAUUGACGUAAUGAUUAAUAGGGAUAGUUGGGGGCAUUAGUAUUCAAUUGUCAGAGGUGAAAUUCUUGGAUUUAUUGAAGACUAACUACUGCGAAAGCAUUUGCCAAGGAUGUUUUCAUUAAUCAAGAACGAAAGUUAGGGGAUCGAAGACGAUCAGAUACCGUCGUAGUCUUAACCAUAAACUAUGCCGACUAGGGAUCGGAUGAUGUUAAUUUUUUAAUGACUCAUUCGGCGCCUUACG